This 299-nucleotide unclassified non-coding RNA is filed under the name uncultured fungus. RNAcentral's name for it is "sequence contains ITS2". The record is from RNAcentral. Lineage: Eukaryota; Fungi.
AACGCACCUUGCACUCCUUGGUAUUCCGAGGAGCAUGCCUGUUUGAGUGUCAUGAAAUUCUCAACCUUUCUGGUUUUAUAAACUAGUUGGGCUUGGAUCAUGGAAGUUGCUGGCUCGGCUUGAAUCAGCUCUUCUUAAAUAUAUUAGCAAAGACUAUUGCUGGGCCAUCUUUGGUAUGAUAAUUAUCUAUAUCAUUGACAGCCAGUUCUCAUUUCUGAGAAGGCUUUGCUUAUAAUCGUCUUUCAGACAAUUUCAUAACUUUUGACCUCAAAUCAGGUAGGACUACCCGCUGAACUUAA